This 646-nucleotide ribosomal RNA is filed under the name uncultured fungus. Its description in RNAcentral is "eukaryotic LSU rRNA". It matches the Rfam family "Eukaryotic large subunit ribosomal RNA", at positions 23 to 673 of the family's 3401-position model. The record is from RNAcentral. Lineage: Eukaryota; Fungi.
ACCCGCUGAAUUUAAGCAUAUCAAUAAGCGGAGGAAAAGAAACUAACAAGGAUUCCCCUAGUAACGGCGAGUGAAGCGGGAAGAGCUCAAAUUUAAAAUCUGGCAGCAUUAGUUGUCCGAGUUGUAGUCUAGAGAAGCAUCAUCCGCGCCGGACCAUGUACAAGUCUCUUGGAACAGAGCGUCAUAGAGGGUGAGAAUCCCGUCCUUGACAUGGACUCCCGGUGCUUUGUGUUGUGCUCUCAACGAGUCGAGUUGUUUGGGAAUGCAGCUCAAAAUGGGUGGUAAAUUCCAUCUAAAGCUAAAUAUUGGCGAGAGACCGAUAGCGAACAAGUACCGUGAGGGAAAGAUGAAAAGCACUUUGGAGAGAGAGUUAAACAGUACGUGAAAUUGUUGAAAUGGAAACGCUUGAAGUCAGUCGCGUUCUCUGGGAUUCAGCCUUGCUUCUGCUUGGUGCAUUUCCUAGUCUACGGGCCAGCAUGAAUUUUGACCGGUGCAAAAGGAUUUGGGGAAUGUGGCACCUUCGGGUGUGUUAUAGCCCCUUGUCGCAUACGCCGGUUGGGAUUGAGGUCUUAGUGCACGCUUCGGUUGUGCUUUGAUGCUGGCGUAAUGGCUUUAAACGACCCGUCUUGAAACACGGACCAAGGAG